GAAGCAGUUUAUGAAAAUAGUUUCCUUUUCAAGAUAUAGGAACUGAUGUCUUUGCAAAAUAUACACACCCACAAUUGUUACAAUACAUAUCCUUGUAUAUAACUCGGACAUUAUAAAAGUGUUUAAGAAUCACACCCUGUAAAAGUCAGGAGAAGAAACAUUUUCUCCAACUUUGGUCAUAUAUUGUGACAUUCAAGCACUUAAACCACUUUGUUGAAAUGUACAGGCCCAGAGGGAUGUAACUUUCAAGGUCUCAUAGGUUCUUUUAUUGUGCAAGGUAGAGAACCAGGAGAGGCAUCCCUAAGAGUUUAUUAACCUUAGAUAUCUCAAGCAGUGGUUUAUUUUCCAUACUUUACCGUGGAAAUAAAGGAGGGAUAAAUAAGACCAUGGAAACCCAUCUUGGGCAGGUCCCCUCCCUAGCAUCCCUAACCAUGGAGUAUGUCUCCUACAAGAGGAUUUCUAACCUUUGAGCCUUAAAAAGCUCCAAGUCUAUAAUUAUCUAACAUACUUGCAAAAUGAUGGUUCUGCAACUUUAAACUUGAAUACUGCAGAAUAGGCUAAAGUUAUAAUAAUAGUGUGACUCUCCUAAAUAGACUUCAUUUAGGAUUUGUCUGGUGGGAAGCAUUUGGGAAGAUCAGCAAGCCAAAAAUUUCCUCCGGGAACUACUGGAAAAGAUCGUUUCUCACCAUGGCAUAAACCUUGGAAGCCAAGUUCUUUCUUACUUUGGCAGAUUUAUGAUGAAACAAUGGGAAAGAGCCUAUAAGCAUUCAAAUCUGUAGGCUUAAAAUAACAGAUGCUAGGUCUGAUACAGUAAGAGCUGAAGCCC
Molecule: long non-coding RNA, 826 nt
Filed under: Bos taurus (domestic cattle)
Lineage: Eukaryota; Metazoa; Chordata; Mammalia; Artiodactyla; Bovidae
Description: long non-coding RNA NONBTAT016015
Source: RNAcentral